Molecule: non-coding RNA, 683 nt
Organism: Onthophagus taurus
Lineage: Eukaryota; Metazoa; Arthropoda; Insecta; Coleoptera; Scarabaeidae
Source: RefSeq, a predicted model, not a curated record
UUUAAUUUGAUUUGACAGAUGACACACAAAAGAUGUCAAUUACGUUUAUAAACAAUUUAAACAUUUAACGAUAUUUUUAAACUAAUUUAAUUGACAACAUCAAGAAAUACCACCCACUCAGAAUUAACCAUGCCCGAACCACCCACGUAAAAAUAUCUUGAAGAAACAACCGUUAAAGUCCAAAUAACAUUGAACACUGAACAUUAGGAUUAGUGUUUUGCCAAACGGUCUUUAUGAACUUACAUGGACACUAUUUAUAUUUUAUUUCUAUUUAAAGAGGAUAAUUGUUGAAUAUGUUGGGUUGCCGAUAUGUCAAAGAAAAUAUUUGAAGAUGAAAAGGAAAUGUUUUAAUUUAAUCAAGUUGAUCUUGAUAUUGUAAUCUUAUUGAAAGGAUUUAUAAAGUUUACAAUGAUGAAUUAAAACAAUUAUAUUACUUUUUAGGUAGAUUUACAAACUGUUUGACUUAAAUUAUUUUGAUUAUUACAAUACUUACAUUAAACAUACUUGUUUAUACAUAAAGAUGGAUACCUAUAAUAAGAUAUAACCAAUCACAACUGUAUUAGAUAAUGUUCGAACUGAGACUAAACAAUAAUUGCUUUAAUCAAACAAAGAAAGAUAAUGAUUCAUUAUUAGAGGACAUAAAAAUCGUUAAUAAAAUAAAGGAAGGGAUCAAUAAUAAUGUA